GACCUGGAUCUAUGCGAUUCCAACGCUCAAAUCUUGUCAGGACCGGAAGGUAGCAGCAAUACGAGAUGCUUGGGAUAGGCGUAGACUCCGGGUCUUU
This 97-nucleotide signal recognition particle RNA is filed under the name Cyanobacteria bacterium UBA8543. Its description in RNAcentral is "signal recognition particle sRNA small type". It matches the Rfam family "Bacterial small signal recognition particle RNA". Rfam says of the family: The signal recognition particle (SRP) is a universally conserved ribonucleoprotein involved in the co-translational targeting of proteins to membranes. Archaeal SRP consists of a 7S RNA and homologues of the eukaryotic SRP19 and SRP54 proteins. The record is from RNAcentral. RNAcentral also lists the same sequence under 2 other names. Lineage: Bacteria; Bacillati; Cyanobacteriota.